UAAAAUGGGGGUGAGAACUAACUUCCUUAGUUCCCAGUGGGUUCGGCCGCCGACUCCGCCGAUCUCCCCACUAGGUCCAAGCGGGCAAAAGUAGAUAAUCGAUAGAUAGAUAGAUAAGGAAAGCGGUAAUGACAGAAGUAAAGCUACUCUACUAUGCCCAAUCAUAAAUAUAUGAAUGCAUGUACAAUGGAAUAGGUAAGCAAUUAACCCAUUAUCAUGUCCAAAGGUAAAGCUAUUUACUCGUUCAUCAAUCCCAUUUACUUGUUUCUUAAUCUCGUGGCUUCCCUGAAGGAGCCUACUGCUCACUAGCCAUCUCGAAGGUAGGGAGGGUCAACUCGCACUACGAACCGAGACCGUCUGCCGGGGCCUAAAAUAGGCAAUCCCUUGGGACCCAAAAUAGGCAAUCCCACGUGACCAACUCCGGAGCGCACUACUUGUGUGAGGCUUCCAUCACAAGAUUUAAAAACAGACCGUGAGCAUGAUCCAAUCCUCGUCUCGAGAAUACCCUAUCCUCUAGGGUUACCAUCAUCAUAUAGUCCAUAGGUUUCACAUACACUAUGACUCAUAUGUGUCAUUUGUUCUCUUAUACACUAUUAACUAGAUUGCCACUCGUCCAUUGUUUACUAUCGACUAGAUGCCACUCGUUCUUUGUUUAACACUAGACCAACCGUUGAGCCUAUCUCUUUCUUUGCACUAUAGGAUUCACAAUCUCGACCCAAUCCUUAUCGAUCCACUAUAUCAAGUAUCCAAUACAUGCUACGAUAUCAUCAAGGAAAGCAUAAGGAAAGGCAAUGCACAAUCAUCCUAUAAUGCAAUAAUACAAGAUGCAAGAAUCGACAUGUACUAAGACAUAGAAGGGAGCCCGAUUGCUUCGGGAUGGACACCACCCACCUCUUGGCGAUGCCGCGAUGAUAGAAGACUCGGCGUUGUGGUUCUUGCACGUCGCCCUAACUCCUCGGGGCGAAGCGAGCCCUCGAGUACCCGAUUCGGCGAUAACUCCGCACUCGCUCGUCGGAUCGGCAAACCGUCUUCGCCGACGCGUUCCGGGACCUAACAAUUAGGUUUGCGACCUAAUAGAUUAGAUCAAAACCCUAGAUUUCGAAAAUCCCCAAUUCCGUGCACUAGAAUGGCAAUGGGGAAGAAAUCCGUGGUGCGAGCUUCGAUUGCGAGCCCGAACCACCUAUUCAUCUCCUCUAGGUUCCAUUUGAACCAAUUCUAAGCAAUAAAACCCAAUCCUAAGAAAUCUACCAUGAGUGGGUUUGGAGCUUACCUCUAAGCCAAGCUCCAAGCUUGCCCUAGCUUGAAGGAGAGAGGGAAGAAGAUGAUCUUCUCCUUCUUCUUGAUCUUCUCCUUCUCUUUUCUCUUCUUUUCAUUCUUCUUCUUCUUCUUCUUCUUCUUCUUCUUUCUUCUUCUCUUUCUUUUCUUUCUAAAGAGAGAGAGGGAAAGAGUGAGAGAGUUAGAGAGCAAUGAGGGAAAGAGAGGGGUCCCCCACCUCUAUUAAAGGCCAUUUUGCAGAUAGCCCCCUCAACUUUUCAUCCUUCAAACCAGCCCUCUUUGGGCAUUUUCGCAGUGAGGGACCGGUCCCAGCUCGGGGAUACCGGUCCCCGAAGGCUACCAUCUCGGGCAGAGGGAUUUUCGCGUUCGGGAACCGGUCCUUGCCUGAGAGACUGGUUCCUGGGAGACCGUUCCUUGUCCGAGAGACCAGUUCCCGAAAGUUGGAUUCUCGAGACUUAGCCAAAUUUUUGGCCAUUCUCGCCGGGCUGACGUUCGGGAACUGGUCCCUGCCUGCAAGGGACCGGUCUCAUCAGAGACCCCCGCAGCCCAGCCCAAUGGAACCGGUCCCUCCCUGCCAGGGACCGGUCCCCGGGAGCAAUUCUUCUCCAGUGCAGAUUUUGCACUGGUGCUCCAGCGGACCCUUCCUUAAUGCACUUUAUGCAUUAUAAUCACCCUCGGACUUUCUAAAGCUUACGCACUCGACAACUAGUCGAUUCUAAUCGAAGUCUAAUCCUCGAGUUUCGAGAAUUCACUUCCUCACAUCCUUCCCACCUUAAAAGAGUUUCGUCCUCGAAACGAACUCAAUACUACAAUACUUAAUUAGAAUUCCAAAUUCUAAACUCAUACCUCGAUUUAACCUUCGAACAGGCGAGGAUGAUUCGCCUUCAUCUCCUCCUCGAGCUCCCAGGUGGCUUCGCGAUCAUCAUGAUUGCUCCACCGGACUCGGACAUAAGGAAUUUCCCGAUUCCUUAACUUGCGCACUUCACGAGCGGUAAUUGCCACCGGAAACUCCUCGUAGCUCAGGUCCUCCUGAAGUUCCGGCGGUUCGUAUAACAUCGCGUGCUCGGGGUCAGGAAUGUAUUUGUGUAGAUUGGAGACGUGGAAUACAUUGUGCACAUCCGCUAGCUUCGGCGGCAACGCGAGCCGAUAAGCCACCGUCCCAAUCCGCUCCAAGAUCUCAUAGGGGCCAAUAUAUCGGGGGCUCAAUUUUCCCCGAACUCCAAAUCGCCUUACACCCCUCAUAGGCGAGACCUUCAAGAAGACACGGUCGCUCACCGCAAACUCUAGAUCUCGUCGGCGCCUAUCCGCAUAGCUCUGUUGUCGAGACUGCGUCGUGAGUAAUCGUUUGCGAGCAAGGCGGACCUUUUCUUCCGCCUCCCGCAGCACAUCAGGGCCAGAUUCCGUGCGCUCGCCCACGUUACUCCAAUAAAUGGGAGAGCAGCACUUCCGCCCAUAAAGAGCUUCGAACGGUGCCAUCUCCACACUAGCGUGAUAACUGUUGUUGUAGACGAACUCGGCCAUUGGCAAAUACUUACACCAACCUCCUUUGUAGUCGAUGACACACGCUCGCAACAUAUCCUCCAGCGUCUGAAUGGUUCUUUCAGUUUGUCCGUCUGUCUAGGGAUGAAAUGCAGUACUGAAGUCAAGCCGCGUGCCAAGGGCCUCCUGUAGGCUUUCCAGAAAUGUGAAGUGAACUUGGGGUCUCUAUCCGACACAAUCGAUUUCGGCACCCCGUGUAACCUCACUACUUCAUCAAGAUAUACCUGCGCCAACUUAUCUCCCGCCCAGGUGGUGUGGAUCGGUAAAAAGUGCGCUGACUUUGUCAAGCGGUCCACAAUCACCCAGAUCGCGUCGUGUUUCCCUAUCGAGCGAGGUAAGCCAACGAUAAAAUCCAUAGAUAUAUCCUCCCAUUUCCAGACGGGAAUAGGUAGGCUUUGAAGCUUCCCCGCUGGAAACCGGCGCUCCGCCUUUACUUGCUGACAAGUCAAGCACUUUGCCACGAAGCGCCCAAUAUCGGCCUUCAUCCCUGGCCACCAAUAGAGUGCUCUCAACUCAUGAUACAUCUAGGUGCCGCCCGGGUGAUCCGCGUAUGGAGACCGGUGGGCUUCCUGCAAAAUCAGCUCGUGAAGCUCUUCAUUCUCGGGCACGCACCACCGGUUUCGAAACCGAAGCGCGCCACCGACGUCCACACUAAAAUCGCCAUUUCGUCCUUCCUCGACGUUGCGCCACACCUCUUGGAGACUCGGAUCUGCAGGUUGCAAGUUUCUGAUCCUCUCCAAUAAGGUCGGUUGAAUAACGAGCGCCAUCAGCUAAGCCGGGAUCUCGGGAGCAACCACUUCGAGGUCCAGUCGCUCCAUCUCCAGCCCUAGGGGUGUUUGCCGAGUAACAUCAAAAGCGAGGUUCUUCGCCGACUUUUUGCUAAGUGCGUCUGCAACCACAUUUGCUUUGCCGGGGUGGUAGAGAAUAUCGACAUCAUAGUCCUUUAAUAGCUCUAGCCACCGCCUCUGUCGCAUGUUCAGCUCCUUCUGGGUAAACAGAUACUUCAGACUUUUGUGGUCGGUGUAGAUCUCGCAGUGUGCACCGUACAGGUAGUGCCUCCACAACUUCAACACGAAGAUCACCGCCGCCAACUCCAAGUCAUGGAUGGGGUAAUUCUUCUCGUGGUCCUUCAGCUGACGGGAUGCAUAAGCUAUCACCCUCCCGUCUUGCAUCAGAACACACCCCAAGCCCAGAUAGGAUGCAUCGCUAUAGACCACAAAGUCCUCGCCCUGCACCGGUAAGGCGAGUAUUGGAGCCGACGUCAAUCUUUUCUUCAACUCGUUGAAGCUUUGAUCACACUCGUCGCUCCAAAUAAACUUGACGCCCUUCUGAGUUAAACUGGUAAGUGGAGUUACAAUCUUCGAAAAACCUUCCACAAACCGUCGAUAAUAGCCCGCUAAGCCCACAAAGCUUCGGACCUCCGUGACGUUCGUCGGGCGUGGCCAAUUCUCGACCGCUUCGACUUUCCUCGGGUCAACCGAAACACCGCCCUCGGAAAUCACAUGCCCCAAAAAGGCAACCUCUCGAAGCCAGAAAUCACACUUCUUCAGCUUUGCGAAUAGCUUCUCCUCCCGAAGGAUUUGAAGCACCGUCCGCAAAUGCUCCGCGUGCUCCUCGUCGUCCCGCGAAUAGACCAAGAUGUCGUCUAUGAAGACCACGACAAAUCGGUCCAAGCACGUCUUGAACACACGGUUCAUCAGAUCCAUGAAUGCGGCCGGGGCAUUAGUGAGCCCGAAAGGCAUAACCGUGUACUCAUAGUGUCCAUAACGCGUGCGAAACGCGGUUUUCUGAAUAUCCUCCGACUUAAUCUUUAACUGAUGGUAGCCGGAUUGUAGGUCUAUCUUCGAGUACACUCGUGACCCCUGUAACUGAUCAAAUAAGUCAUCGAUUCGGGGCAACGGGUACUUAUUCUUUAUCAUGACCCUAUUCAACUCUUGAUAGUCCACGCAGAGUCGAAAUGAGCCAUCCUUCUUGCGCACGAACAACACCGGGGCUCCCCACGGUGAUACGCUCGGCCUGAUGAACCCUUUGUCGAGAAGAUCUUGUAACUGAUCCCUCAGUUCUCUUAACUCUGCCGGCGCCAUGCGGUAUGGGGCCUUCGAGAUUGGCACCGUCCCGGGAAUCAAGUCUAUAACGAACUCGAUCUCCCGAUCCGGCGGCAUCCCCGGUAACCCCGUGGGAAAUACAUUUGGAAAUUCCCGCACCACCGAUAAAUCCUCUAAACUCGGAGCCACUCGGUCCACUUCCAUGACAGUCGCCAAAAAUGCUACGCAGCCGCCGUUGACCAACUUUCUAGCUCUCGUCGCCGAUAUCGUCGCGACGAAGCAAGAGCUUCGACAAGCUCGAUAAAUGAACUCCUCCUGUCCUGGCUCCCGAAUGGUGAUCAAUUUAUUCUUACAAUCAAUCGUGGCGUAAUACUUUGAGAGCCAAUCCAUGCCCAAAAUGACGUCAUACGCCUCCAGUUUCUUAAGUUCCAACAUCCGGAUGGGCAUUAUCCAGUCGCCUACUUGUACUGGGCAUGACGAGCACUCCGUAUAGGUAUUAAAUGAUGACUCGGGACCUUCGACUCGCCACUUGCCACUUGCUUCUAUGGGUAUGUCAUGCAUGCGUGCAAAUGCCCUACUAAUAAAUGAAUGCGUGGCACCCGUAUCGAACAUAGCUCUGGAGCGAACUCCAUUAAUUAGAACCAUACCUGCCACAACAUCAGGCUCCUCGGCUUGGGCAGGCUCUUCGGUAUGGGCCUGAGCGGCGAAUACCCGUCCGCUCGGCGCUGAUCGAGUCACCUCCGGCUGGCACGGCGCCAGUGCGCGUCCCGCCGAUACGGGAACAUACGAGGCCCCUCCUUGAUAAGGCGAGGGCGCUGGAGUCGAUGCAACCGACGAAGUAGACGAGGCCCUUGCCGGACAGUCACGACUGACGUGUCCCUCUUGUCCACAAUUAAAGCACCGUCCUUGUCGUUGUCUACACUGCGGUGCCCGAUGGCCUCGAUCUCCACAGAUAGGGCACCGCUGCGGCCCACGGCCCCACGACUGCGACUGCGGAUACUUCGGGGGCCUCCUCGAACUCGAUUGUCCCCCCGAACCGCCGCCCGAUCGCUUCUUCCCCUUGUCUUGGGAUCCGGCCAACAACUCACGCUCCUCUCGCACAUGGGCAUCUCUAUGCUCUGCCCAUAACGCCUUAUUGAAAACCUCGGCGAAAGUCGUGAGCUGGAACAAUUGCACCGCUCUAUAUAUCCACGGCCGAAGUCCUCGCAAGAACCACUCAGCUCGAUCCGCGUCGUCCUUAACCACGUCCGGGACGCAGUCUAUAAUGUGGGAGAACUCUUGUUCGUAAUCCGCCACCGAACGAUCCCCCUGCCUCAAUUUGCGAAACCUCUCCUUUAGCUUUCGCUUCUCGGUGUCGGGGAAGUAAUUCCCAAACAUCUCCUUCUUAAACUCCUCCCAGAGCAUUGGUGGAAGGUCAGAGGGUCGAUCCCGCUUCAACCGCUUCCACCACACCUUGGCCGCCUUGUCGAGGCAAUGGGUGGCGAAAGGCACCUUAUCUUUCUCCGGGGUGUACAGGUCCUCGAAGAGAGUCUCCAUCGAGUCAACCCAAGACUCCACCACUGACGGCUCCACUUUCCCCCCUUCAAAAGUUGGUGGUUUAAACUUCAUGAACUUCAUCAGAGCCGUCAGCGCACACUCCCGCUCCACUUCGUCGACCGUCGUCUCGAGUGUCGCCGAACCCGAAGCUGUCGGAGGCGCAUUUGUCGGCGGGGGAACCGCUGCCAUCGGAACCGCCGCUAUGCCCUCACCCUCGGCCGCUACCGGCGUGCGUGCCGAAGGUGCGGGCGGAUCGCGAUCUCCUGCCGCCGUCGCGGCCGCCACCGCUGCCGCUUGCCGCUCCACAACUUCCUGGAGCUGCUCGAACCGAGCCUCCUGGCGCUGCAUCGCGCCCAACAUUGCAGCGACCUGCUCCCGCAGCUCCUGCACCUCCUCCGAUCUUGGCUGCUCGGGCUCCGCAGAAGGCGGCACCGGAGCAGACCUACGCGCAUAACGCCUUGGGGACAUUUGCUCCUGAAAAGCAACAACUCGGUUAGUUAUCUCAAUCCGAUAACCUUGCAACGUUCGCGAAUUUAAACGACUCAAUAGUAAAAUCAGGCGGAAGCUCGCAAGUGCUCUAGUGUCGGACUCUUAGCGUUGCGUCGUCGGCCGCCGACACAACCACUACGAGCCAAGAACUAGUGUCACUUGGAUCCGUCUCUAUUCACAGCUAGAGACACAACAUCAACCUGACCCAAUCACUCAACUCCCGCCACCGCCAUGGGUUCACGUUCACUCACGUCCCUAUAACCUUAGGGUUUACCAACUUAGGGUCUCCUAGGUUAUCCUAGACUCUCUCUUUACUUGCUCUGGUGCUCUGAUACCACUUUAUCUGUCACGCCCCGCGACCGCUACCAAUUUGGUCCGGCCCCGGGCGCGUCGAACAGACGCCGAACGGACAGGACCUCCCCUGUCCGUCCAAGGCUAACCAACAGAUCAUGUAUAAGAAUUUACCUAGGAAUCAAUUCAUAAAUACACGAUCAAGAAGCACCACCAGUGCAACAAUCAAUAGCAAGAUACAAGUAUAGAAACAUAUACAAGUACAUAAGAGAGAAGAGGCUAUCCAUUACAUUCAUUUGAUUUACUACAUUUAAGUACGUCUUUUACAUUCUUCCAAAAAUAUAAGUACAAGCACUCAAACCUCUCCGUAUACAACAUCUACUCUCAAAUACAAAAAGGGUGACAGCUAAUGCAAAAGGGAGGUAGCUAAUGCGACUAGAGCGCCUUGCCCUUACCACGAUCCUCACGCUCACCGGGGACGCCCGAACUAGAACCUGUAAAGAGUGGGGUGAGAACUAACUUCCUUAGUUCCCAGUGGGUUCGGCCGCCGACUCCGCCGAUCUCCCCACUAGGUCCAAGCGGGCACAAGUAGAUAAUCGAUAGAUAGAUAGAUAAGGAAAGCGGUAAAUGACAGAAGUAAAGCUACGCUACUAUGCCCAAUCAUAAAUAUAUGAAUGCAUGUACAAUGAAAUAGAUAAACAACUAACCCAUUAUCAUGCCCAAAGGUAAAGCUAUUUACUCGUUCAUCAAUCUCAUUUACUUGUUUUUUAAUCUCGUGGCUUCCC
Molecule: long non-coding RNA, 7960 nt
Filed under: Ananas comosus (pineapple)
Lineage: Eukaryota; Viridiplantae; Streptophyta; Magnoliopsida; Poales; Bromeliaceae
Description: long non-coding RNA (ACOM_LNC041905)
Source: RNAcentral